This is a long non-coding RNA of Felis catus (domestic cat), 596 nucleotides long. RefSeq lists it as uncharacterized. The transcript has 2 exons. Lineage: Eukaryota; Metazoa; Chordata; Mammalia; Carnivora; Felidae. The record is from RefSeq and is a predicted model, not a curated record.
UUCAUCAGUGGGCGUUAAGAUAAACAAGUUAUUGUACAAUUCUACAAUGAAAUACUCUGAAUCUGUGAAGAGACUGAAGGUGUUCAGGGUAGAUAUAAAAAAAUCUUCAAGAUACUAUAGGGGAAAAUAAGAUUUAAAAUAGUCACACAGCUAUUUGUAUCAAAGAGAAAAACACAUAUAUAAGGAAGAUAUAAGUGUAAUGACGUAUUUAUUUGCUUGCACAUGCACAGGAUAAUAUGGAAUGGGCACAUAGACAUCUGGAAAUACUAGCUGCCUCUGGGAGAACUAGGUGCCUGGAAAGGAAGGAAACUUCACUGACACACUUAGGAAAUUUUUAUAAUGACUGCAACCACAUAUUGACUCUAAAUGGAACCAGUGGAAGAACUGACCAGCUUAACCCAGCAUAAUUGCUGAAACAAAAGAAUCAUGCACAAGUAAAAUGGGUUUUAAGUUACUAAAUUUUGGGUAGAUUGUUAUGUAGCAAUCCGUGACCAAUAUGCCAGUCUUUUCUGAUGGCUAGUUGUAUUAAUUCAUAAUACAAAAAGAAAAGUGAAAGCUAAUGCCUUAAAAUAAAUAUUUCAGAAAACUUUCUCAAU